RNAcentral lists this unclassified non-coding RNA (203 nucleotides) under Hevea brasiliensis (rubber tree). The record is from RNAcentral. Lineage: Eukaryota; Viridiplantae; Streptophyta; Magnoliopsida; Malpighiales; Euphorbiaceae.
AAGUUCAAUAGGCAUCAAUGGUAUAAUGGUGAUAAGAGAAGAAGCGUGGGUUAUCUUGAUAUUCCUAAUUUUUAUGGGGAUCUUAAACGAGUCCAAUUGGUGGCUUGUGAGUUAAAAGGUGGUGCUUCUGCUUGGUGAGAAUGGCUACAAUCUAAAAGGAAGGAGAAGGAAAAGAGUCGGUUCGUACAUGGUUUAUAAUGAAG